Long non-coding RNA from Fukomys damarensis (Damara mole-rat), 277 nucleotides. RefSeq lists it as uncharacterized. The transcript has 3 exons. The record is from RefSeq and is a predicted model, not a curated record. NCBI's taxonomy places the organism in Eukaryota, Metazoa, Chordata, Mammalia, Rodentia, Bathyergidae.
CCUGGAGUCCUGGGAUCGAACUCAGGAUCUGCCACUGAGCCCGGUGUGACUUCGGGGGCUGACGAUUGAGGAGACGGAGGGAGAACUGCAAGGGAGCUGCAUCAGUAGAAGGGACCCACUCAACCCAGAUGGGAGCAGACUUCACCUUGCCUACCUGCAAGGAAGGCAGAGCGUCCUGCCCUGAUGCUCUGGACCUGUAACGGGAGCAGACCUCAACCCACACUGCCAGAGCAAGUGCUCCGAGUCCCGGGGGUGACGAGAAUCUCUCACUUCCAUU